Molecule: transfer RNA, 85 nt
Filed under: bacterium (Candidatus Torokbacteria) CG_4_10_14_0_2_um_filter_35_8
Lineage: Bacteria
Description: tRNA-Leu
Rfam family: tRNA
About the family: Transfer RNA (tRNA) molecules are approximately 80 nucleotides in length.
Source: RNAcentral
GCGGACGUGGCGGAACUGGCAGACGCGUAAGGUUUAGGACCUUAUUCUCUUUUUGAGAUUGAGGGUUCGACUCCCUCCGUCCGCA